GAGAGCGUAGUUUAACUGGAUAAAACCUCGGUCUACGAAACCGAUGACGUGGGGGUUCGAUUCCCUCCGCUCUCG
Molecule: transfer RNA, 75 nt
Filed under: Coleofasciculus sp. FACHB-1120
Lineage: Bacteria; Bacillati; Cyanobacteriota; Cyanophyceae; Coleofasciculales; Coleofasciculaceae
Also listed under: 5 other names
Description: tRNA-Arg
Rfam family: tRNA
About the family: Transfer RNA (tRNA) molecules are approximately 80 nucleotides in length.
Source: RNAcentral